RNAcentral lists this ribosomal RNA (393 nucleotides) under uncultured bacterium. Its description in RNAcentral is "partial 16S ribosomal RNA". It matches the Rfam family "Bacterial small subunit ribosomal RNA", at positions 523 to 918 of the family's 1533-position model. The record is from RNAcentral.
AUACGGAGGAUGCAAGCGUUAUCCGGAUUUAUUGGGUUUAAAGGGAGCGCAGGCGGAGAUGCAAGCGUGACGUCAAAUUUCGGGGCUCAACCCCGUCUCGCGUCGCGAACUGCGUCCCUUGGUUGCGGGAAGGGGAGGCGGAACUCGUGGUGUAGCGGUGAAAUGCAUAGAUAUCACGAAGAACUCCGAUCGCGAAGGCAGCCUUACGGCCCGUCAACGACGCUCAUGCUCGAAGGUGCGGGUAUCAAACAGGAUUAGAUACCCUGGUAGUCCGCACAGUAAACGAUGGACACCCGCGGUUUGGCCUGUAUGGCUGAGCCGCCAAGCGAAAGCGUUAAGUGUCCCACCUGGGGAGUACGCCGGCAACGGUGAAACUCAAAUGAAUUGACGGGG